UGUCAUUUUCUUUUGCUCCUCGAUGUU
RNAcentral lists this microRNA (27 nucleotides) under Anopheles gambiae (African malaria mosquito). Its description in RNAcentral is "aga-miR-10358-3p". The record is from miRBase by way of RNAcentral. Lineage: Eukaryota; Metazoa; Arthropoda; Insecta; Diptera; Culicidae.